CAGUAGCCGCGGUAAUACAGAGGGUGCGAGCGUUAAUCGGAUUUACUGGGCGUAAAGCGUGCGCAGGCGGUUCGUUAAGACAGAUGUGAAAUCCCCGGGCUUAACCUGGGAACUGCAUUUGUGACUGACGGGCUAGAGUAUGGCAGAGGGGGGUAGAAUUCCACGUGUAGCAGUGAAAUGCGUAGAGAUGUGGAGGAAUACCGAUGGCGAAGGCAGCCCCCUGGGCCAAUACUGACGCUCAUGCACGAAAGCGUGGGGAGCAAACAGGAUUAGAUACCCGUGUAGUCCCUGUCUCUUAUAC
This 301-nucleotide ribosomal RNA is filed under the name uncultured bacterium. RNAcentral describes it as "partial 16S ribosomal RNA". It matches the Rfam family "Bacterial small subunit ribosomal RNA", at positions 509 to 807 of the family's 1533-position model. The record is from RNAcentral.